GUGCUGGUGAAGAGUCCCAAACUAGGACGAAAUAGCUGUCCAGUAC
Molecule: non-coding RNA, 46 nt
Filed under: Trichobilharzia regenti
Lineage: Eukaryota; Metazoa; Platyhelminthes; Trematoda; Strigeidida; Schistosomatidae
Source: RNAcentral